GCGGCGAAAAGGCUGAGAGCGCGCCGCUCACUCUGCGUCUUGCUUUCACCCUUAAGGCGUUGCUGCCGUCAGUCGGACGUGCGCUGCUUCCUGCUUCUGCCUCAGCUUCACUGCUACCAGCGUCUACGGCUACAAGAAUCGACGCGGACCAAGGACAAACCUACAACGUCAACAAAAGUUCCUCGGAAAACAAGCUGUCUUGUCAAACACAAAGAAAAAAUUAAAAGGAGCGGAUAUGUACAUUCGGCAGGAUUAUUGCGCAGACAUGGUCUUUCUCUCUCAUUUGCUAUGGAUCGCGGCUAGGUCACCGCGGCAGUUUUUCUCGCUGUGACCACCUCGUACCCUUUGCGAUGUGCCCGAAACACCGAGUGCGCUCUCUUCUUUGCCACUAGUGGCCAGCGGCUCUGACAGCCGGAUCAACGAACAUUGUUUUUUCCCCCCGAGAAACCACGCAGCUGCCUCAAGCCAAUGGGGACAUCUUCGCGCUGUGGGCAAAAGAGAAACAACCGGUGGUGGUCCUUUCCAAGGUCCAUUACACCACCUUCUGCGAAGUCCGUUUCGACCAGAGCCCAGUUAUCGGCUCGAGCUCCUCCGAGAAAGCAGGUUCUUUGUGGAGCUAAAUCAACCACGAGUUAUUCCACAUCUACGAUAUACGACCAGAUUCGUUGUGAGAAGUGGCUCUUCUGGCUUUAGUCCAAGCAACGCCCGGAGCUACCCGACAAACUGGACCAGCACGAUCGUGUACCCGCAACAUCUCAUCUUGCUCGACAUAUGUAGUACCAACGAAUGAAUGGGUGUGAUAAAAUGUUUUUGCUCGAA
This is a long non-coding RNA of Dermacentor albipictus, 819 nucleotides long. RefSeq lists it as uncharacterized. The record is from RefSeq and is a predicted model, not a curated record. NCBI's taxonomy places the organism in Eukaryota, Metazoa, Arthropoda, Arachnida, Ixodida, Ixodidae.